CGUCUAUAUACGUAUAGCAUAUCAAUAAGCGGAGGAAAAGAAACUAACUAGGAUUCCCUCAGUAACGGCGAGUGAAGCGGGAAGAGCUCAAAUUUGAAAUCUUCAAGGUUCUACCUUGACGAAUUGUAGUUUAAAGAAGUGUUUUCUGUUGAGUUUUCGGUAAAAGUUCUUUGGAAUAGGACAUCAUAGAGGGUGAGAAUCCCGUAUUUGACCAUUAUUUCCAACUUUGUGAUACACUUUCAAAGAGUCGGAUUGUUUGGGAAUGCAGUCCAAAAUGGGUGGUAAAUUUCAUCUAAAGCUAAAUACUGGCGAGAGACCGAUAGCGAACAAGUACCGUGAGGGAAAGAUGAAAAGAACUUUGAAAAGAGAGUUAAACAGUACGUGAAAUUGUCAAAAGGGAAGCGUUUGACACCAGUGUUGUUUUCUCGAAAAUCAAUUAAAAAAUGAGGGGAUUUUGUGUUGUAUUGACUUCAUCAGCUUUCUGCACUCUUUUCUUGUCUUUUUUAAUGCACUUUUCGUUUAACAAGUCAACAUCAAUUUCUUUUGUUGUAAAAGGGUCAUUGGAAGGUGGCUUUCUUUUCGGAGAAAGUGUUUAUAGCCUUUGCCUCUGCAAUCGGAGAGAUUGAGGUCUGCAGCGUAGAUCCUUCGGGGUUAGAUGCAUUUGUGCUAAGUUAUAGCCUUUCAUAGACAACUUGUUGACUAUGAUCAGUCAUGUAGCUUACUCGCUUAUGCUAUUUUACCUACGCUUAGGAUGUUGAUCUGUAGUGCGUGCGC
Molecule: ribosomal RNA, 774 nt
Filed under: uncultured Neocallimastigales
Lineage: Eukaryota; Fungi; Neocallimastigomycota; Neocallimastigomycetes; Neocallimastigales
Description: partial large subunit ribosomal RNA
Rfam family: Eukaryotic large subunit ribosomal RNA
Source: RNAcentral